UCCCCCCCGUCACACCUGAGGCCAGGGUGGGGCAGAAUAAGAAAGCUGCUGUACAGAGCUGUCUACUGGAAGAAACUCACAAAAAUGUGAAACAGAAUAUAUUCAGAAAAGUACCAGAAGCUGCCUGAUGAAGAGGAAGAUGUUGACAAAUCCUUCUUACUUCAACUACAGGAAGCACCGUGUUCAUACAACCUGCUGGGGCAUUCACAUCUGCUGGAAAAGCAGCACAGCAAUUUUCCCAGCCAUACUCUAUCCAAUGGAUGUAGAAACACACACUGGGACUUACAGUGAACAAAUCUACUAAGGAGAAAUCCUAUUUCCUGCCUCAAGCAGGUGACUGGUUUACUCACUUGACUACAAAUUAUUUCAACAAGGUACCAGUCUUGAGCAGAGAUGGAGAACCACCCUUUAGGCAAGAUGUAAUUAUUAAUGAUCCAAAUAAAGCAAAUGAAAUAUAG
Passer domesticus (house sparrow) is the source of this 458-nucleotide long non-coding RNA. RefSeq lists it as uncharacterized. The transcript is spliced from 4 exons. NCBI's taxonomy places the organism in Eukaryota, Metazoa, Chordata, Aves, Passeriformes, Passeridae. The record is from RefSeq and is a predicted model, not a curated record.